CAGGGAAUAUUGCACAAUGGGCGAAAGCCUGAUGCAGCGACGCCGCGUGCGGGAUGAAGGCCUUCGGGUUGUAAACCGCUUUCAGGAGGGACGAAAAUGACGGUACCUCCAGAAGAAGGCCCGGCCAACUACGUGCCAGCAGCCGCGGUAAUACGUAGGGGCCAAGCGUUGUCCGGAUUUAUUGGGCGUAAAGGGCUCGUAGGCGGUUUGACAAGUCGGUCGUGAAAACCUGGGGCUCAACCCCAGGACGCCGGUCGAAACUGUCAUGACUAGGGUCCGGUAGAGGUGAGUGGAAUUCUCGGUGUAGCGGUGGAAUGCGCAGAUAUCGAGAGGAACACCAGUAGCGAAGGCGGCUCACUGGGCCGGUACCGACGCUGAGGAGCGAAAGCGUGGGGAGCAAACAGGAUUAGAUACCCCCGUAGUCC
RNAcentral lists this ribosomal RNA (425 nucleotides) under uncultured prokaryote. Its description in RNAcentral is "bacterial SSU rRNA". It matches the Rfam family "Bacterial small subunit ribosomal RNA", at positions 355 to 796 of the family's 1533-position model. The record is from RNAcentral.